GACGAACGCUGGCGGCGUGCCUAAUACAUGCAAGUCGAACGCUGAAGGAGGAGCUUGCUCUUCUGGAUGAGUUGCGAACGGGUGAGUAACGCGUAGGUAACCUGCCUGGUAGCGGGGGAUAACUAUUGGAAACGAUAGCUAAUACCGCAUAACAGUAGAUGUUGCAUGACAUUUGCUUAAAAGGUGCAAUUGCACCACUACCAGAUGGACCUGCGUUGUAUUAGCUAGUUGGUGGGGUAACGGCUCACCAAGGCGACGAUACAUAGCCGACCUGAGAGGGUGAUCGGCCACACUGGGACUGAGACACGGCCCAGACUCCUACGGGAGGCAGCAGUAGGGAAUCUUCGGCAAUGGACGGAAGUCUGACCGAGCAACGCCGCGUGAGUGAAGAAGGUUUUCGGAUCGUAAAGCUCUGUUGUAAGAGAAGAACGAGUGUGAGAGUGGAAAGUUCACACUGUGACGGUAUCUUACCAGAAAGAGACGGCUAACUACGUG
This 495-nucleotide ribosomal RNA is filed under the name uncultured bacterium. RNAcentral's name for it is "partial 16S ribosomal RNA". It matches the Rfam family "Bacterial small subunit ribosomal RNA", at positions 28 to 507 of the family's 1533-position model. The record is from RNAcentral.